AUAUAUAUCCCACCGGCUGUGUGAUGCCUUUAUUGCCGUGAUGCGGGAGCUUCUGUGAGUGCAAUGUUGUGAGCCUUUCUCAAAUGUACAAUACAGAGGAAAUAACUAGAGGUGGAAUAAUGGACACGAAUGCACAGCAAUCUACGUUCCAAGGAAUGAUCCUCAUGCACACUUUUUCAGAGAGGAUUCUGGCAAGGGGCAAUCUACUGUAACCUUUUCUAUACCAGGCGAAGAAUCUGGGGCAUAACUUCAUCUCUAUGGGCCCCAU
Molecule: long non-coding RNA, 268 nt
Organism: Pseudophryne corroboree (corroboree frog)
Lineage: Eukaryota; Metazoa; Chordata; Amphibia; Anura; Myobatrachidae
Exons: 3
Source: RefSeq, a predicted model, not a curated record